UACGUAGGGUGCGAGCGUUGUCCGGAAUUAUUGGGCGUAAAGGGCUCGUAGGCGGUUUGUCGCGUCGGGCGUGAAAACACACAGCUUAACUGUGUGCUUGCUUCCGAUACGGGCAGACUAGAGGUAUGCAGGGGAGAACGGAAUUCCUGGUGUAGCGGUGAAAUGCGCAGAUAUCAGGAGGAACACCGGUGGCGAAGGCGGUACUCUGGGCAUUACCUGACGCUGAGGAGCGAAAGUGUGGGGAGCGAACAGG
RNAcentral lists this ribosomal RNA (253 nucleotides) under uncultured bacterium. RNAcentral's name for it is "partial 16S ribosomal RNA". It matches the Rfam family "Bacterial small subunit ribosomal RNA", at positions 524 to 776 of the family's 1533-position model. The record is from RNAcentral.